GACGGAGGGGGCUAGCGUUGUUCGGAAUUACUGGGCGUAAAGAGCAUGUAGGCGGAUUAAUAAGUUGGAAGUGAAAGCCCGAGGCUUAACCUCGGAACUGCUUUCAAAACUGUUAAUCUAGAGUAUGGUAGGGGGUGACGGAAUUCCUAGUGUAGAGGUGAAAUUCUUAGAUAUUAGGAGGAACACCGGUGGCGAAGGCGGUCACCUGGGCCAUAACUGACGCUGAGAUGCGAAAGCGUGGGGAGCAAAC
This 250-nucleotide ribosomal RNA is filed under the name uncultured bacterium. RNAcentral describes it as "partial 16S ribosomal RNA". It matches the Rfam family "Bacterial small subunit ribosomal RNA", at positions 524 to 773 of the family's 1533-position model. The record is from RNAcentral.